RNAcentral lists this ribosomal RNA (485 nucleotides) under uncultured bacterium. RNAcentral describes it as "bacterial SSU rRNA". It matches the Rfam family "Bacterial small subunit ribosomal RNA", at positions 359 to 836 of the family's 1533-position model. The record is from RNAcentral.
GAUUUUCGCAAUGCCCGAAAGGGUGACGAAGCGACGCCGCGUGUGGGAAGAAGGCCUUCGGGUUGUAAACCACUGUCGGGAGUUAAGAAAUGUAAGAAUGUUAAUAGCGUUCUUACUUGACUAAGGCUCCGGAGGAAGCCACGGCUAACUCUGUGCCAGCAGCCGCGGUAAUACGGAGGCGGCAAGCGUUGUUCGGAAUUAUUGGGCGUAAAGAGCACGUAGGCGGCUUUGUAAGUCGGUUGUGAAAACCUUCCGCUCAACGGGAGAACGGCAGCCGAUACUGCAUAGCUUGAGUGCGGGAGGGGAGAGUGGAACUUCUGGUGGAGCGGUGAAAUGCGUAGAUAUCAGAAGGAACGCCGGCGGCGAAAGCGGCUCUCUGGCCCGUAACUGACGCUGAGUGUGCGAAAGCUAGGGGAGCAAACGGGAUUAGAUACCCCGGUAGUCCUAGCCGUAAACGAUGGGCACUAAGUAGAGGGGUUUUAAUC